RNAcentral lists this ribosomal RNA (621 nucleotides) under Klebsiella pneumoniae. Its description in RNAcentral is "bacterial SSU rRNA". It matches the Rfam family "Bacterial small subunit ribosomal RNA", at positions 922 to 1533 of the family's 1533-position model. The record is from RNAcentral. Lineage: Bacteria; Pseudomonadati; Pseudomonadota; Gammaproteobacteria; Enterobacterales; Enterobacteriaceae.
CGCACAAGCGGUGGAGCAUGUGGUUUAAUUCGAUGCAACGCGAAGAACCUUACCUGGUCUUGACAUCCACAGAACUUUCCAGAGAUGGAUUGGUGCCUUCGGGAACUGUGAGACAGGUGCUGCAUGGCUGUCGUCAGCUCGUGUUGUGAAAUGUUGGGUUAAGUCCCGCAACGAGCGCAACCCUUAUCCUUUGUUGCCAGCGGUUAGGCCGGGAACUCAAAGGAGACUGCCAGUGAUAAACUGGAGGAAGGUGGGGAUGACGUCAAGUCAUCAUGGCCCUUACGACCAGGGCUACACACGUGCUACAAUGGCAUAUACAAAGAGAAGCGACCUCGCGAGAGCAAGCGGACCUCAUAAAGUAUGUCGUAGUCCGGAUUGGAGUCUGCAACUCGACUCCAUGAAGUCGGAAUCGCUAGUAAUCGUAGAUCAGAAUGCUACGGUGAAUACGUUCCCGGGCCUUGUACACACCGCCCGUCACACCAUGGGAGUGGGUUGCAAAAGAAGUAGGUAGCUUAACCUUCGGGAGGGCGCUUACCACUUUGUGAUUCAUGACUGGGGUGAAGUCGUAACAAGGUAACCGUAGGGGAACCUGCGGUUGGAUCACCUCCUUACCUUAAAGAA